Molecule: ribosomal RNA, 629 nt
Filed under: uncultured bacterium
Lineage: Bacteria
Description: bacterial SSU rRNA
Rfam family: Bacterial small subunit ribosomal RNA
Source: RNAcentral
CACGCCNUAAACGAUGCCGAUUAGCUGUUGGGCAACUUGAUUGCUUAGUAGCGAAGCUAACGCGUGAAAUCGACCGCCUGGGGAGUACGGUCGCAAGAUUAAAACUCAAAGGAAUUGACGGGGACCCGCACAAGCGGUGGAUGAUGUGGAUUAAUUCGAUGCAACGCGAAGAACCUUACCUGGUCUUGACAUGUACGGAAGAACUCAGAGACGAGUUUGUGCCUUCGGGAGCCGUAACACAGGUGCUGCAUGGCUGUCGUCAGCUCGUGUCGUGAGAUGUUGGGUUAAGUCCCGCAACGAGCGCAACCCUUGUCAUUAGUUGCCAUCAUUAAGUUGGGCACUCUAAUGAGACUGCCGGUGACAAACCGGAGGAAGGUGGGGAUGACGUCAAGUCCUCAUGGCCCUUAUGACCAGGGCUUCACACGUCAUACAAUGGUCGGUACAGAGGGUAGCCAAGCCGCGAGGUGGAGCCAAUCCCAGAAAACCGAUCGUAGUCCGGAUUGCACUCUGCAACUCGAGUGCAUGAAGUCGGAAUCGCUAGUAAUCGCAGGUCAGCAUACUGCGGUGAAUACGUUCCCGGGUCUUGUACGCACCGCCCGUCACACCAUGGGAGUGGGGGAUACCAGAAG